UACAGAGGGUGCAAGCGUUAAUCGGAAUUACUGGGCGUAAAGGGCGCGUAGGUGGAAUUAUAAGUUAGGUGUGAAACCUCUGGGCUUAACCUGGAGCUUGCAUUUAAUACUGUAGAUCUAGAGUAUUGUAGAGGUAAGUGGAAUUUCCGGUGUAGCGGUGAAAUGCGUAGAUAUCGGGAAGAACACCAGUGGCGAAGGCGACUUACUGGACAAAUACUGACACUGAGGCGCGAAAGCGUGGGAAGCAAACAGG
RNAcentral lists this ribosomal RNA (253 nucleotides) under uncultured bacterium. RNAcentral's name for it is "partial 16S ribosomal RNA". It matches the Rfam family "Bacterial small subunit ribosomal RNA", at positions 524 to 776 of the family's 1533-position model. The record is from RNAcentral.